This 406-nucleotide ribosomal RNA is filed under the name uncultured bacterium. Its description in RNAcentral is "partial 16S ribosomal RNA". It matches the Rfam family "Bacterial small subunit ribosomal RNA", at positions 28 to 526 of the family's 1533-position model. The record is from RNAcentral.
GAUGAACGCUAGCUACAGGCCUAACACAUGCAAGUCGAGGGACCGGCGCACGGGUGAGUAACACGUAUCCAACCUGCCCUUUACUCGGGGAUAGCCUUUCGAAAGAAAGAAUAAUACCCGAUAUAAAGGAUGGGGAUGCGUUCCAUUAGGUUGUUGGUGAGGGAACGGCUCACCAAGCCUGCGAUGGAUAGGGGUUCUGAGAGGAAGGUACCCGAGAUUGGAACUAAGGCACAGACCAAGAGCGUACGCGGGGCAGCAGUGAGGAAUAUUAGUCAAUGAGGUCUAGCCUGGACCAGCCGAGUAGAGUGAAGGGUGAAGGCUUAUGGAUCGUAGACUUGUUUUAUAUAAGAAUAUGUAUUAUAUGAAUAAGGAUCGGCUAACUCCGUGCCAGCAGCCGCGGUAAUUC